AGAGUUUGAUCAUGGCUCAGGACGAACGCUGGCGGCGUGCUUAACACAUGCAAGUCGAGCGGAAAGGCUCCUUCGGGGGUACUCGAGCGGCGAACGGGUGAGUAACACGUGAGUAAUCUGCCCUGUGCUCUGGGAUAGCCACCGGAAACGGUGAUUAAUACCGGAUAUGACCACUCCGCGCGUGUGGUGGUGGUGGAAAGUUUUUCGGCGCAGGAUGUGCUCGCGGCCUAUCAGCUUGUUGGUGAGGUAAUGGCUCACCAAGGCUUUGACGGGUAGCCGGCCUGAGAGGGUGACCGGUCACACUGGGACUGAGACACGGCCCAGACUCCUACGGGAGGCAGCAGUGGGGAAUAUUGGACAAUGGGCGGAAGCCUGAUCCAGCAACGCCGCGUGAGGGAUGACGGCCUUCGGGUUGUAAACCUCUUUCAGUACCGACGAAGCGUGAGUGACGGUAGGUACAGAAGAAGGACCGGCCAACUACGUGCCAGCAGCCGCGGUAAUAC
RNAcentral lists this ribosomal RNA (503 nucleotides) under uncultured bacterium. Its description in RNAcentral is "bacterial SSU rRNA". It matches the Rfam family "Bacterial small subunit ribosomal RNA", at positions 8 to 526 of the family's 1533-position model. The record is from RNAcentral.